This 325-nucleotide ribosomal RNA is filed under the name uncultured Sandona. Its description in RNAcentral is "SSU rRNA". The stretch from base 115 to 325 matches the Rfam family "Eukaryotic small subunit ribosomal RNA", at positions 744 to 955 of the family's 1831-position model. Lineage: Eukaryota; Cercozoa; Glissomonadida. The record is from RNAcentral.
GAUUUCUGGCUUGAAACAUUUUGCCGGCCACGGUUUCGUGUGUUAGUGCUUGAUGUUCUGGCCAUCCUUCCAAUUGCUGCACGCUUGAUCUUCAUUGAUUUUGUGUUGUAGUAUUGGAUCUUUUACUUUGAAAAAAUUAGAGUGUUUCAAGCAGGCUUUAUGCUAUGAAUACAUUAGCAUGGAAUAAUAAUUUAGGACUUCGGUUCUAUUUUGUUGGUUUCUAGGACUGAAGUAAUGAUUGAUAGGGAUAGUUGGGGGUGCUAGUAUUCAGCGGCCAGAGGUGAAAUUCUCGGAUUCGCUGAAGACUAACUUAUGCGAAAGCAUU